Molecule: transfer RNA, 61 nt
Filed under: Neoscona scylla
Lineage: Eukaryota; Metazoa; Arthropoda; Arachnida; Araneae; Araneidae
Description: tRNA-Ser
Source: RNAcentral
AUACUAGAAUAGUGAAUUGAAGCUUCUAACUUCUAAAAUAGCGAUAGCUACUAAUAGUUUA